GUUGAUAAGGUUAAGUGAAUAAGGGCGCACGGUGGAUGCCUUGGCACUAGGAGCCGAUGAAGGACGGGACUAACACCGAUAUGCUUUGGGGAGCUGUACGUAAGCUAUGAUCCAGAGAUUUCCGAAUGGGGGAACCCAACAUCUUUAAUAGGAUGUUACGAUUGUGUGAAUACAUAACACAUUCGAGGUAGACGCAGAGAACUGAAACAUCUAAGUACCUGCAGGAAGAGAAAGAAAAUUCGAUUCCCUGAGUAGCGGCGAGCGAAACGGGAAAAGCCCAAACCAGCAAGCUUGCUUGUUGGGGUUGUAGGACUCCAAUAUGGUAGUUCUUUCAGAUAGUCGAAUGACUUGGAAAAGUCAGUCAAAGAGGGUAAAAACCCCGUAGACGAAAUGUGGAAGACACCUAGGAGGAUCCUGAGUACGGCGGAACACGAGAAAUUCCGUCGGAAUCCGGGAGGACCAUCUCCCAAGGCUAAAUACUCCCUAGUGACCGAUAGUGAACCAGUACCGUGAGGGAAAGGUGAAAAGCACCCCGGAAGGGGAGUGAAAUAGAACCUGAAACCGUGUGCCUACAACAAGUCAAAGCCCGUUAAUGGGUGAUGGCGUGCCUUUUGUAGAAUGAACCGGCGAGUUACGAUUGCAUGCGAGGUUAAGUUGAAGAGACGGAGCCGCAGCGAAAGCGAGUCUGAAUAGGGCGUUUGAGUAUGUAGUCGUAGACCCGAAACCAUGUGAUCUACCCAUGUCCAGGUUGAAGGUGCGGUAAAACGCACUGGAGGACCGAACCCACGUACGUUGAAAAGUGCGGGGAUGAGGUGUGGGUAGCGGAGAAAUUCCAAACGAACUUGGAGAUAGCUGGUUCUCUCCGAAAUAGCUUUAGGGCUAGCCUCGGAAUUGAGAAUGAUGGAGGUAGAGCACUGUUUGGACUAGGGGCCCAUCUCGGGUUACCGAAUUCAGAUAAACUCCGAAUGCCAUUCAUUCAUAUCCGGGAGUCAGACUGUGAGUGAUAAGAUCCAUAGUCGAAAGGGAAACAGCCCAGACCACCAGCUAAGGUCCCAAAAUAUAUGUUAAGUGGAAAAGGAUGUGGGGUUGCACAGACAACUAGGAUGUUGGCUUAGAAGCAGCCACCAUUUAAAGAGUGCGUAAUAGCUCACUAGUCGAGUGACCCUGCGCCGAAAAUGUACCGGGGCUAAACAUAUUACCGAAGCUGUGGAGUACACCUUUAGGUGUAUUGGUAGGAGAGCGUUCUAAGGGCGUUGAAGGCAGAUCGUGAGGACUGCUGGAGCGCUUAGAAGUGAGAAUGCCGGUAUGAGUAGCGAAAGACAGGUGAGAAUCCUGUCCACCGAAUGACUAAGGUUUCCUGGGGAAGGCUCGUCCGCCCAGGGUUAGUCGGGACCUAAGCCGAGGCCGACAGGCGUAGGCGAUGGAUAACAGGUUGAUAUUCCUGUACCCGUUGUUUUUGUUUGAGCAAUGGAGGGACGCAGGAGGCUAAGGAAUGCAGACGAU
RNAcentral lists this ribosomal RNA (1503 nucleotides) under Enterococcus faecium. RNAcentral's name for it is "partial 23S ribosomal RNA". It matches the Rfam family "Bacterial large subunit ribosomal RNA", at positions 1 to 1499 of the family's 2925-position model. Lineage: Bacteria; Bacillati; Bacillota; Bacilli; Lactobacillales; Enterococcaceae. The record is from RNAcentral.